This 615-nucleotide long non-coding RNA is filed under the name Homo sapiens (human). RNAcentral describes it as "HSALNT0326447". Lineage: Eukaryota; Metazoa; Chordata; Mammalia; Primates; Hominidae. The record is from RNAcentral.
UUCAAAUCUGCUCUGUGUAAAGGAUCGUUCAACUCUGUGAGUUGAAUACACACAACACAAGGAAGUUACUGAGAAUUCUUCUGUCUAGCAGAAUAUGAAGAAAUCCCGUUUCCAACGAAGGCCUCAAAGAGGUCUGAAUAUCCACUUGCAGACUUUACAAACAGAGUGUUUCCUAACUGCUAUAUGAAAAGAAAGGUUAAACUCUGUGAGUUGAACGCACACAUCAUAAAGGAGUUUCUGACAAUCGUUCUGUCUAGUUUUUAUUGGAAGAUAUUUCCUUUUCUACCAUUGACCUCAAAGCGGCUGAAAUCUCCACUUGCAAAUUCCACAAAAAGAGUGUUUCAAGUCUGCUCAAAGUAAAGGAUUCAACUCACAGAGUUGAAUACACACAACACAAGGAAGUUACUGAGAAUUCUUCUGUCUAGCAUAGUAUGAAGAAAUCCCGUUUCCAACGAAGGCCUCAAAGAGGUCUGAAUAUCCACUUGCAGAGUUUACAAACAGAGUGUUUCCUAACUGCUCUAUGAAAAGAAAGGUUAAACUCUGUGAGUUGAACGCACACAUCACAAAGAAGUUUCUGAGAAUCAUUCUGUCUAGUUUUUAUACGAAGAUAUUUCC